This 462-nucleotide ribosomal RNA is filed under the name Capnocytophaga granulosa. Its description in RNAcentral is "bacterial SSU rRNA". It matches the Rfam family "Bacterial small subunit ribosomal RNA", at positions 28 to 495 of the family's 1533-position model. The record is from RNAcentral. Lineage: Bacteria; Pseudomonadati; Bacteroidota; Flavobacteriia; Flavobacteriales; Flavobacteriaceae.
GAUGAACGCUAGCGGCAGGCCUAACACAUGCAAGUCGAGGGAGAAGCCCUUCGGGGCAGAAACCGGCGCACGGGUGCGUAACGCGUAUGCAACCUACCUUUCACAGGGGGAUAGCCCGAAGAAAUUUGGAUUAAUACCCCAUAAUAUUAUUGGAUGGCAUCAUUUGAUAAUUAAAAUUACGAUGGUGAAAGAUGGGCAUGCGUCCUAUUAGCUAGUUGGAGUGGUAACGGCACCCCAAGGCUACGAUAGGUAGGGGUCCUGAGAGGGAGAUCCCCCACACUGGUACUGAGACAGGGACCAGACUCCUACGGGAGGCAGCAGUGAGGAAUAUUGGUCAAUGGUCGGAAGACUGAACCAGCCAUGCCGCGUGCAGGAAGAAUGCCUUAUGGGUUGUAAACUGCUUUUAUAUGGGAAGAAUAAGGAGUACGUGUACUUGAUGACGGUACCAUAUGAUAAGCUUCG